This 253-nucleotide ribosomal RNA is filed under the name uncultured bacterium. Its description in RNAcentral is "partial 16S ribosomal RNA". It matches the Rfam family "Bacterial small subunit ribosomal RNA", at positions 524 to 776 of the family's 1533-position model. The record is from RNAcentral.
UACAGAGGGUGCGAGCGUUAAUCGGAAUUACUGGGCGUAAAGCGCACGUAGGUGGCGACGUAAGUCGGGUGUGAAAGCCCCGGGCUCAACCUGGGAAUUGCAUUCGAGACUGCAUUGCUGGAGUACGGAAGAGGAAGGCGGAAUUCCCGGUGUAGCGGUGAAAUGCGUAGAUAUCGGGAGGAACAUCAGUGGCGAAGGCGGCCUUCUGGUCCAGUACUGACACUCAAGCGCGAAAGCGUGGGGAGCAAACAGG